UGGGGAAUAUUGGACAAUGGGCGCAAGCCUGAUCCAGCCAUGCCGCGUGAGUGACGAAGGCCUUAGGGUUGUAAAGCUCUUUUGGCGGGGACGAUAAUGACGGUACCCGCAGAAUAAGCCCCGGCUAACUUCGUGCCAGCAGCCGCGGUAAUACGAAGGGGGCUAGCGUUGUUCGGAAUUACUGGGCGUAAAGCGCACGUAGGCGGACUUUCAAGUCAGGGGUGAAAUCCCGGGGCUCAACCUCGGAACUGCCUCUGAUACUGUUGGUCUUGAAUCCGGUAGAGGUGGGUGGAAUUCCUAGUGUAGAGGUGAAAUUCGCAGAUAUUAGGAAGAACACCGGUGGCGAAGGCGGCCCACUGGACCGGUAUUGACGCUGAGGUGCGAAAGCGUGGGGAGCAAACAGGAUUAGAUACCCCUGUAGUCCCUGAGCGGGC
Molecule: ribosomal RNA, 434 nt
Filed under: uncultured bacterium
Lineage: Bacteria
Description: bacterial SSU rRNA
Rfam family: Bacterial small subunit ribosomal RNA
Source: RNAcentral